GACGAACGCUGGCGGCGUGCUUAACACAUGCAAGUCGAACGGAAAGGCCUGCUUUCCCUUGUGGAUUGCGGGUACUCGAGUGGCGAACGGGUGAGUAACACGUGAGUGAUCUGCCCCCAACUUGGGUAUAAGCCUGGGAAACUGGGUCUAAUUCCCGAUAGGACUGCAGGGUGGUGCCUGUGGUGGAAAACGAUUUUCUAUUGGUUGGGGAUGAGCUCGCGGCCUAUCAGCUUGUUGGUGGGGUAAUGGCCUACCAAGGCGGCGACGGGUAGCCGGCCUGGGAGGGUGGACGGCCACAUUGGGACUGAGAUACGGCCCAGAAUCCUACGGGAGGAAGCAGUGGGGAAUAUUGCACAAUGGGCGGAAGCCUGAUGCAGCGACGCCGCGUGGGGGAUGACGGCCUUCGGGUUGUAAACUCCUUUCGACCGCGAGGAAGCCACCUGGUUGGAAGGGUGGUGACGGUAGUGGUAGAAGAAGCACCGGCUAACUACGUG
This 494-nucleotide ribosomal RNA is filed under the name uncultured bacterium. Its description in RNAcentral is "partial 16S ribosomal RNA". It matches the Rfam family "Bacterial small subunit ribosomal RNA", at positions 28 to 507 of the family's 1533-position model. The record is from RNAcentral.